Molecule: ribosomal RNA, 500 nt
Filed under: uncultured Glomeromycotina
Lineage: Eukaryota; Fungi; Glomeromycota
Description: partial small subunit ribosomal RNA
Rfam family: Eukaryotic small subunit ribosomal RNA
Source: RNAcentral
CCAAUAGCGUAUAUUAAAGUUGUUGCAGUUAAAAAGCUCGUAGUUGAAUUUCGGGGUCAGUAGGUUGGUCAUGCCACAGGUAUGUACUGAUCUUACUGAUUCCUCCUUCCUGAUGAACCGUAAUGCCAUUAAUUUGGUGUUGCGGGGAAACUGGACUGUUACUUUGAAAAAAUUAGAGUGUCUAAAGCAGGCUAACGCUUGAAUACAUUAGCAUGGAAUAAUGAAAUAGGACGUUCGAUCCUAUUUUGUUGGUUUCUAGGAUUGACGUAAUGAUUAAUAGGGAUAGUUGGGGGCAUUAGUAUUCAAUUGUCAGAGGUGAAAUUCUUGGAUUUAUUGAAGACUAACUACUGCGAAAGCAUUUGCCAAGGAUGUUUUCAUUAAUCAAGAACGAAAGUUAGGGGAUCGAAGACGAUCAGAUACCGUCGUAGUCUUAACCAUAAACUAUGCCGACUAGGGAUCGGAUGAUGUUAAUUUUUUAAUGACUCAUUUGGCGCCUUACG